Thamnophis sirtalis is the source of this 332-nucleotide non-coding RNA. Lineage: Eukaryota; Metazoa; Chordata; Lepidosauria; Squamata; Natricidae. The record is from the annotation of a RefSeq genome assembly.
GUGGAAGCACAGGACAGUCAGUGAAGCAAACAACUGGCAUUGUGACUGUUACUGAAGGACAACCGGUUUAUCUCAAUUGUUCUUAUGAAACAGGGUUUAGUACUUCAUAUGUCAUAUCCUGGUACAUUCAGCCUCCUGGUCAGCCCCCAAAACACCUUCUGAAUUCAUAUUUGGAAACAGCUGAAGGAUUCCAAGCUACUUACAAUGACGAUAAAAAAGAGAAAAGGGGGACUUUCAACAUGCAGAAACCAGAUGUCCAAUUGAAAGAGUCUGCUGUCUACUUCUGUGCCUUCAGUGACACCGUGAGACAAAGUAGAGGAGAAGCCAACUAA